This 253-nucleotide ribosomal RNA is filed under the name uncultured bacterium. RNAcentral describes it as "partial 16S ribosomal RNA". It matches the Rfam family "Bacterial small subunit ribosomal RNA", at positions 524 to 776 of the family's 1533-position model. The record is from RNAcentral.
GACGUAGGGGGCAAGCGUUGUCCGGAUUUAUUGGGCGUAAAGAGCGUGUAGGCGGCCAGGUAGGUCAGCUGUGAAAACUCGAGGCUCAACCUCGAGACGCCGGUUGAAACCAUCUGGCUAGAGUCCGGAAGAGGAGAGUGGAAUUCCUGGUGUAGCGGUGAAAUGCGCAGAUAUCAGGAAGAACACCCGUGGCUAAGGCGGCUCUCUAGUACGGUACUGACGCUGAGACGCGAAAGCGUGGGGAGCGAACAGG